Molecule: long non-coding RNA, 1613 nt
Organism: Tribolium castaneum (red flour beetle)
Lineage: Eukaryota; Metazoa; Arthropoda; Insecta; Coleoptera; Tenebrionidae
Exons: 2
Source: RefSeq, a predicted model, not a curated record
GGGUUUGUUGUUUUUUCUAAAAUCGAACACUAAAUUACCGUAAUCUCUUCAUUAAUUUCGCCGAAUAAAAUAUAGCUUUUCGAGGCCAUUAAGCGCAGCCCUCUUGAUUGGAAAUAGUAGCCUUGCGAUGUCCUGAUUAAGCCAAGGACUCGUAUAUCCAGUCACAUAAUGUCCAGAUACCGCUUCUAAAACUCGACGAGUGGCUAUAGUCGGCGUCAUUUUAUUGGCCCUCGGGGGUGACAAAUGAAGAUCGGGUCAUGACAUUAACUACCCGAUGUCUCACUAUUUUUACACGCUCGGGCUUUUAUUUAAGCCUUUUUGACACCAGGGGCAAAAGCUCCUCCAAAAAGUUUUAUUGCACUUUCCUGCAAAUUUGGGACAAAUACUUACUCCAAAAACCUUGUUUAUUAUUGCCAAACAAAUGCUCGAAAUAAAUCAAUAGAGGUGUAUUAUCUCUAAAAUAACCUUCAAAGUUUUGCAAUAAUUGUAAACACUGGCCAUGUACAAUGAUACAAAAUUGUUUGUUUAUUUUUGUAUUAAAAUCUUAAACUGCUACACAAUACGUUCUACGAAAGAGUUUUUAUACUAUUUUAUUGGUUGUUUGUUCAGGGCCUUUUAAAAAUUAAAUUAAUAAAAAGUUAAGUCUACUAAAAGGUACAGUCCGGGACAUUUCUAUUUGGACAUAAAAAAUUUGAAUUUUCUGACAUUUAUACGUAUAUUCAGCGUCUAUGUGAACAAAAAAUGUUCUCUCUCUCAUUCUAUGGUCCUUUAGCUUUAAUAACAGGGACAUUUUUUAAAUUGGUAGCAUUAGAAAAUGACAGUAAACAGCUGACUGAUGUAAACAAUAACACAAUAACAAAGGAAAUGUUAUAAUUUUAAUCUAUAUAACCAGUGGCUGCUUUAAAAGUGUGUACUAACGGGAUAAUAAAAUAUUUACGCAAGUAUUUUUGAAGGUAGAAACAUUACUUGUCAUAUAACAAUUAUAGAUUAUAUGAUGAGACGGGAAUGGCACAACACAGAAUUGCAGUCAGUGAUUGUGCUGGAGAAAGCUGCUGCGACGUACUGACAGUACUGACUGUCGCUGGUUGUAUGAUUUGCGCAAUUUGUGAUAUAUUUUGUGUGAAAAACUGGAAAACAAAGUGCAUACCUGCAUAACCUCACUUAUCGCAGUUUUGCACAUUUUGAUGAUGGGAAUUGCGGUUCAAGUAAUUAUGAGUUAUAGAUGGAGCUCACUGUUUACUUCAAACUGAAGCCUUUUGGGUCCACUUUUUUCGUUGUUAUUUCCUGGUAGCGACUCUUGUUUCAAGCAGAAUGGGUGUACAGUUAAAAAUAAUCCCAUAAAAUUGUUAAUAUAACUCCGUUGCACUGGCAUGGGGUAUUUGAAAACUUACGUUUAACAAAUACGUCACAAAGUCUCAGCCAUCGUCGAAAAACAUAAUAAGGGCUUUAUAACAACAAGCGCUUUCUGAUUUUACUGUGGACGUGUGGAAGAAUAGUGUGAAAUAUUGCGAAAAACCAACUUUUACUCUUGUUUACAUUUUUGUACGUCUCUAUCUGGGAGUAGUCGUCUUUUAUAAAAAAUAUAGCCUACUAAUAAAGGAAAUUAAAGUGUU